AGUUCAUGGAAAACUUUUCCUAGACCCGAUCAUUCAUGUCGGUGAGCGAGGCACAAAAUAAUUAGGGUUUCAUUUGGAUUGAUCGGAUUCCGAUGCCCCGAGUUGGACUUGAUGAGUUGCACUUGAAUUAGGGUUUCGAUCCUGCACGCAAGGUCGACCCCUUUCUCGGAUCGCCCGAAAAUCCGCCAUGGAGUCGAUCACGAAGAUUUUCGUUCGAAUUGUAUGGAACGGAAGCUUUUCGACGUGCGGGAAGUAGCAUUCGAUCGCGUGAUUAGGGUUUGGUGUGAACAGGAUAAUCAUAUGUUUGAAUGCAUCGUGGUGUUUGCAUUGUGAGUCUUGUGAUUUCAUGAUUGAGAUCGGUGCAAAGUUAAUCAUGGACGUAGAAUAUACAUGCUCCAAGAAGCACCGUAGUUUUUUUUUUUUUUUUUUUUUCUAAUUUAAAUUUAAAUUUAUUUUAAAUAUAUGUAUGUGUGUGUAUCUAUAUCUAUAUAUAUAUAUAUACAAAUAUUUGUGUGUCAGUAACUGAGUGUCAAUUGUAUGCCAGAUUUAUGACUGUAAGACGUGUGUUUGUGAUUCACUCAGGUACAUGAGAUUAUAGAAUCAAGCGGUACAUGGCCAGCAUGCAAUCGUAGAGAUGGCUACGAGGGUGGUCAGUGAGAAGUUGCCCCUAGCCGAUUGCCAUCGAACGGAAAGGUUUUGGGGAUGAAUAUAAUGAUCGAUGCUUGGUUUCGGUACACUGGACCUGCUGUUAUAGUGGUCAAUAAAGUGGUGGAUAAAUUGUAACGGAAAGAAUCAGAGAGGUUGCAGGCGUCCGAUAGUCUUUCAAUGCGUGGGGUGAUCUUGGAUGCAGAGCAUGUUGCACAAAUUCCUCACCAUUUGAUGCUUGAUUGAGGGUGGCUCCAUUCACGUCGGUAGGGAAGGGACAUGCUUAACAACUGAAGAGUACCUGAGCAACUCAAUUCCAAAUCCAAAUCUAAACGGAAAUGCCAUAGAGUAACAGUCCAAGCUUUGCCAAGUAGGUGUUUUGGCUGCCCCAUGAUGUCGAUGGUAUUUCCAUCUCCUCCCUACAUUAGAUUACGGGCGAAUACGCGAUUUCAUAAUAACUGGCCGGAUUACUGAAUACAAUGUUGCGAACUCGUCUCAUAUAGGAUUAUUGUCUGCCAGGAAAAUUAAAGUGGAAUUGAAGCAAGCUUCAUUAAAUUGUCGGUAGCAAUUAUAAGUGUCAGCACUUCUUCUAGAUUAGCUUCGGUGUGGUUGGUUUGAUGGGUGAUUUAGUUCUAGUUCGUGGUGACAAUGAGCAAGUGAUGAAUAAGCAUUUCAUGUUUCAUGUUCUGCACAAAAUACUACGUACAAAGUGCUGACUGCAUUAUGGCUUAUAGAAGAUAAGUGAAUGAGACAAUUCUAGUUACUUCAAGUUA
Physcomitrium patens is the source of this 1418-nucleotide non-coding RNA. NCBI's taxonomy places the organism in Eukaryota, Viridiplantae, Streptophyta, Bryopsida, Funariales, Funariaceae. The record is from RefSeq and is a predicted model, not a curated record.